AACGUACGCUGGCGGCACGCCUAACACAUGCAAGUCGAACGAAGUAGCAAUACUUAGUGGCAGACGGGUGAGUAACAUGUAGGUAUCUGCCCUUUGGCCUGGAAUAACACGAGGAAACUUGUGCUAAUACCGGAUAAGUCUUUACGGAGAAAGCUUUAUGCACCAUUGGAUGAGCCUGCACUUGAUUAGUUUGUUGGUGGGGUAAUGGCCUACCAAGACUGUGAUCAAUAGCUGAUUUGAGAGGAUGAUCAGCCACAUUGGGACUGAGACACGGCCCAAACUCCUACGGGAGGCAGCAGUGGGGAAUCUUGCACAAUGGAGGAAACUCUGAUGCAGCGAUGCCGCGUGAGUGAAGAAGGCCUUUGGGUUGUAAAGCUCUUUCGUCGGGGAAGAAAAUGACUGUACCCGAAUAAGAAGGUCCGGCUAACUUCGUGCCAGCAGCCGCGGUAAUACGAAGGGACCUAGCGUAGUUCGGAAUUACUGGGCUUAAAGAGUUCGUAGGUGGUUGAAAAAGUUAGUGGUGAAAUCCCAGAGCUUAACUCUGGAACUGCCAUUAAAACUUUUCAGCUAGAGUACGAUAGAGGAAAGCAGAAUUUCUAGUGUAGAGGUGAAAUUCGUAGAUAUUAGAAAGAAUACCAAUUGCGAAGGCAGCUUUCUGGAUCAUAACUGACACUGA
Molecule: ribosomal RNA, 676 nt
Filed under: alpha proteobacterium IMCC15224
Lineage: Bacteria; Pseudomonadati; Pseudomonadota; Alphaproteobacteria
Description: bacterial SSU rRNA
Rfam family: Bacterial small subunit ribosomal RNA
Source: RNAcentral